RNAcentral lists this ribosomal RNA (414 nucleotides) under Triticum aestivum (bread wheat). Its description in RNAcentral is "partial small subunit ribosomal RNA". Lineage: Eukaryota; Viridiplantae; Streptophyta; Magnoliopsida; Poales; Poaceae. The record is from RNAcentral.
AUGCUUCUAUAUACACCCAUGGGAGAAUACAGACUGAUACAAGCUUUACACCAACAACAAGAGUAUGGGUCAGAUAUAAGUCAGCAGAUUGGCCACAACUACAAACAAACAAUGGUUCAAACUAAGAAAAAUGGAGAACCAACCGUACAUACAGAUUGGAUACCCCGGGCUGCAGAUACUUUGGCGUCUCAAUUAUUAACUGAUUCCAUGAAUAGACCGAUACAGAACAUUCACACUAAACAAUUCAACCUGGACCAAAAUGUUAACCAAGAGGAAAGCCUAUCACAUAUGCAAUCUCGCUCAAACCUAAUGGUUAAGAGAGCAUCUCCUUUCUCCAACUCUCAAGAGACACCACCAACCAAGAAGUAUGCCCCUGAUGGUGAGGCACAAGUUCCAUCAUUGCAGGGGGGAUAA